Molecule: long non-coding RNA, 1952 nt
Organism: Lutra lutra (Eurasian river otter)
Lineage: Eukaryota; Metazoa; Chordata; Mammalia; Carnivora; Mustelidae
Exons: 5
Source: RefSeq, a predicted model, not a curated record
UAUUGCCCCGGCACAUCAGCACAAAUCAAUAAACAUUGCAGCUGCAGCGACAGCAGCAGACCCGUGCGUCCGUCGGUCCGUCUGCCCCCUCCCCCACCCUCCUUCCACCCGAGACCAAGAGCGCCAUCCAAGCUCCAUUAUCCGGCUUCAGCGCUCCGUGCGUCCGGCCCAGGUAACAACUUCCCCAAAAACCGAAAGAGAAAAAUGAGAGGCGUACGCACAGAACCCCAUCCCAGCGCGGAGAAGGAGUCUCCCCCGGGGAGGGGGGAUCUGUCUGUGGUGCUUCCCUAAGACCAGUGAGAAAGAAUAUGGCUACGGAGUUCUUGACAACCAUCUUUUGACCACAGUGAGAGCCAGCCUUUGGAAAUAAAGUUGACACUGCUGAAGGUAGAGUGGUGAAACUAAAGGAAACUGGAUAACAUUCUUGAGCCACUGGAUCAAGCCCACCCUGAAGCCUAACUACUACUUUUUAUUCCUCUAAAUAUUAUUAUUUAAUGGAAGACUUCACCAAUGAAGCCAUCUGGGCUUGGAGUUUUCUUCAGGGGGGAGCAUUGAUGUACUCCAAGGUGUAUCCCUUAAAAUGGAAGUUGAUUUUUCACAUUAAACUUUUCAAUUGAUCCAUGUUUUACGAGAUCCAAAUUUUCUGUGUGUUGCUGAGCCGAAAUCCUCACCAAGAAGCCUCAGACAUCUUGAGGCAGUGGAAGAAGACUUGUGGUUCCAGAGAGACUCAAGACCAAAACUUAAGACCAAAAUUUUUCAAAACUAGUGACUGGUGCCCCCGCACUUCCCCCCACCAAGAAGGAGCAGCAGCCUUGAGGUAGAUAGCCUGGAAUAUUCCACUGCACACUCAGGUCAUGUUGGGGGAGAGAUCAGGUUAUUCUAACAUGCCCAUUAAUGUAUAUGAAUUACUUAGUUAAUUCCAAUGAGUUGCUUCUAUUUGAAAAGAAUUGUAUCAGGAAUUGGAAGUGUAAAACAUGGUCCGAUAAUGAAGGCAUAAUUAAAUGAAGACAUAAGUUAUUACAAUGUAAAGUUAAAUCAGAGGCAGAUUUAACAUGAAGAAGCUGCAGUGUAAGUGCCCCUCACUUCCAUAGGCCCUUUCCAAAGCUUUGGGAGAGACCCUAUAAUCAUACUUAUGUGGUCAUACAUUCAGUAAACUUUGAAAAGUGAGAAGUUUUUUUUUUAAACUAAAGUUAAACUGUCUCUUUCUCAUCUUACUUUCCCUACCAUUGAAAUGGCCAAUGACAUUUUUGAGACCCAACAAAAAAGUUGUAUUGAGGACACAUGUAGUUGAGUUCAUUGAAAUAUAUGUAUAGGGCUCACAAAUACUUCCUUUUAGAAUGAACUGAUUGCCAGCUACACUGGUUUAGGAGUGAUUUCUAGAAAUGUCUUACUACCCCUGUGCUGACCCUUUGAGUUCAUGGCUUGAGGGUAUAGAACAGAGGCUUUACCAUGACAGGAACAUGCCCUGUGGCACUCAGCCCAGGAAGUAGAUGGUUCCUGGAGGAGAUGCUAGGGUUUGACAUGUGUGCAGCCAGAAAUGAGUCUGGAGAAUUCUUCCAAUCAGACAUGUAGAACUGUAAAUGAAGGAUAUGGUUCUAAUAGUGCUGGUCAGAUCAGAACUUUGCAAAGUCAGGAAUACUUUUAAUAACACAGCAUAAGCGGUAAUACACUUGAACAGGUGCCAUCUUUUCCUUCUUUUUGUUGGUAAUUGUACAAAAUAAUAGAAUACAUAGGUCUCGAGGCACAAGCUGGUAGCAGUACUACAAAGAGGGAGUCCAUCUAUAUGUGAAGUUCUACAGUAUAGUCGUUCCAGUUAUCAACAAUAAAAACAGAAGAAAGACUGAAUUGUAUCUCCAUUUUCUCUAUAGAAAAUACUACAAUUAAGUCACUCUACCAGGUAGCUAUUGAACAAAAAUGUUAUUUUUCUGGAUUUUGAAUAUUCAUUGUAUUCG